RNAcentral lists this non-coding RNA (173 nucleotides) under Fretibacterium fastidiosum. RNAcentral also lists the same sequence under 1 other name. Lineage: Bacteria; Thermotogati; Synergistota; Synergistia; Synergistales; Aminobacteriaceae. The record is from RNAcentral.
AAUCUUCACGUGGAGUUCGGCGCAGGGAAUCCGGUGCGAAUCCGGAACGGCCCCGCCACUGUGAGCGCGACGAAACCGAUGGAUGCCAUUGUUCUCCGGCUGUGGCCGGGACGAGAAGGCUCGGGAGUAGGAGGACCGCAAGCCAGGAGACCUGCCGAACGUCCGUUUUGCCG